UGGGGAAUAUUGCACAAUGGACGGAAGUUUGAUGCAGCGACGCCGCGUGGAGGGUGUAGGCCUUCGGGUUGUGAACUCCUUUUUCUCGCGAAAAAGGCACAGUUUUGGCUGUGUUGAUGGUAGUGGGGGAAGAAGCGCCGGCUAACUACGUGCCAGCAGCCGCGGUAAUACGUAGGGCGCGAGCGUUGUCCGGAUUUAUUGGGCGUAAAGAGCUCGUAGGUGGUUCGUCGCGUCUGUCGUGAAAGCCAGCAGCUUAACUGUUGGUCUGCGGUGGGUACGGGUGGGCUUGAGUGCGGUAGGGGUGACUGGAAUUCCUGGUGUAGCGGUGGAAUGCGCAGAUAUCAGGAGGAACACCGAUGGCGAAGGCAGGUCACUGGGCCGUUACUGACACUGAGGAGCGAAAGCGUGGGGAGCGAACAGG
This 421-nucleotide ribosomal RNA is filed under the name Fusobacteriota bacterium. Its description in RNAcentral is "Fusobacteria bacterium partial 16S ribosomal RNA". It matches the Rfam family "Bacterial small subunit ribosomal RNA", at positions 355 to 776 of the family's 1533-position model. Lineage: Bacteria; Fusobacteriati; Fusobacteriota. The record is from RNAcentral.